Molecule: non-coding RNA, 418 nt
Organism: Pelobates cultripes (western spadefoot toad)
Lineage: Eukaryota; Metazoa; Chordata; Amphibia; Anura; Pelobatidae
Source: the annotation of a GenBank genome assembly
AAUGAUAAGGGUGACCUUGUGAAUGCUAUCAUCUCAAAUAUUGAUCCUAAAUGUCAGGCAAGAGUUUGGUAUCCAUUAAUAAUUGAGAGGCAUCCUCGUUAUUCUCAGAAAAGACAUCUGGUGAUAAUUUAGUGCACAGAGCAGGUAAGGGCUUAAUGAGUCAAAUAAUGAAAUAAUGUAUCUUCUCUGUGAUUUAUUCACUAUACAGGGAGUUGUGGAUAAUAGUAAAUGUUAUGCCAAAGGAGCUAUAGUGAAUAAAAUUCAGCUCCGAUGUUUUUUCCUUUAAAUGGACUACGGGGUUAGGAAACCAUCGGCACUCCAGAUGUUGAGGACUACAUUCAUCUCCCCUGAUGCUUUGCCAGCAUUAUGGAUGCUAGAGCAGUAUUGGAGAUGUAAUCUACAAAAUCUGGAGUGCCGA